AACGAACGCUGGCGGCAGGCCUAACACAUGCAAGUCGAACGCCCCGCAAGGGAGGUGGCAGACGGGUGAGUAACACGUGGGAACGUACCCUUCGGUUCGGGAGUAACUCAGGGAAACUUAGAGCUAAUACCGGAUACGUCCGAGAGGAGAAAGAUUUAUCGCCGAGGGAUCGGCCCGCGUCUGAUUAGCUUGUUGGUGAGGUAACGGCUCACCAAGGCGACGAUCAGUAGCUGGUCUGAGAGGAUGAUCAGCCACAUUGGGACUGAGACACGGCCCAAACUCCUACGGGAGGCAGCAGUGGGGAAGUCUUGCGCAAUGGGCGAAAGCCUGACGCAGCCAUGCCGCGUGAAUGAUGAAGGUCUUAGGAUUGUAAAUUACUUUCACCAGGGACGAUAAUGACGGUACCUGCAGAAGAAGCCCCGG
This 423-nucleotide ribosomal RNA is filed under the name uncultured bacterium. RNAcentral describes it as "bacterial SSU rRNA". It matches the Rfam family "Bacterial small subunit ribosomal RNA", at positions 29 to 496 of the family's 1533-position model. The record is from RNAcentral.